Long non-coding RNA from Podarcis raffonei (Aeolian wall lizard), 2410 nucleotides. RefSeq lists it as uncharacterized. The record is from RefSeq and is a predicted model, not a curated record. NCBI's taxonomy places the organism in Eukaryota, Metazoa, Chordata, Lepidosauria, Squamata, Lacertidae. The transcript is spliced from 2 exons.
UUCUGGAUACAAACUCUACAGGAAUAAUAGGGAGGAGCAUCAUGGAGAUACGUGAAGGAGGACAUGGAAUCCAACAACUUAGAAAUGUCAAGAUGGACAGACUUCUCCACAGGAGUGCUAUGGGUGGUGAUACCAGGCCCCAAGAAUAAUUUAGUACUGGGCAUAUACUAACACAGACACAGACAGAAAGAAACACACACACAUACAGUGCCCAAGGAGAAUGAAAAAAGAUGAGGCAUCCAAAGGAGGAAAUGUUGUCAUCACCCUCAGAUAUACCAGAUACUGAAGAUUGAGGAUGAAUGCAAAGCAUAUUCUGUACAGCUGAGCUAUGGGCCCUCCUAAUUGUGGCCUCCAUCAUCCAAGGCUGAAGGCAGCAGAAGGUGCAACAGAAGAUCAGCGGUCAUGAAGAAAGCACAGCAAAAUCCCAGGGUCAUCAGAAAAAGGGGGGAGCAGGGAACCUAUCAGAAUUAAAGAUGGCCAGCCUACAGUAGGGUGGAAUUUUACUUUCGAACAUGCGCUCUCCUUAAUCAGGACAUCUCACUUAUUGGACAACGGAAACAGAAAAAGAACGGCUUUUUAUUAAGCUAACUUUUGAUUUCUCAGCUGAAGAACAAAAGGGUUUCUAGAAGCUAUCUUAGGCCUCAUCUUAUCUUACAGUUCCAUUAUUCACCCUCUCUGCUGCCUCUCUUGUCAGCACAUAAUCUCUUUUCUUGAUCCUUGGUUUCUCCAUCCAUAAUGUGCAACAUAUAUCUAUUAUCUAUAUGCACAGCUGCAUUGCAUUCAGUUACCUUGCACUCGCUGGUAAACCUGCACAGAACAGCAGCAAUAUGCAUAAAAAAUUAUCUCACCCAUUUGGUACUAAUACAUAACGUUAGGAAGAUGUUUAAUGUGGACAAACUGUAUAUUACCUUUAAGGAGCAAAGGCAUGAAGGGGAUUUUCGGUGACUUCAUUUUCUUGAAUGCAUCUCUGUAGGCUUUGUGAUUCAGGGAAGGGUCCUACCGAAACAAUUUGAUUGCGAUGAAAGGAAAGAAGAAAAUCAAUACCCUUUCUAAAGGAUGGCAAUUUGUAAUCUGUUACACACCCACAAGCUCAAUAUGCUUUAAAUAUAAAAGGUUUCCUUGGAAAACGAGGCAGAUAAAUGUUUCUCAAAGAAAGAGGACUGACUGAGUGAAAUAAGAGGCCAUUCACUCCAGGGGCGAAUAGAGAGUUUGGAACUACAUAUGUCUGCAGUAAGCUAAAAAGCUAAGGAUCCCAGCUUUAGAUGAUGAGGUUUACAUCAACCAAGGGCUGAUGAAACUCUAGAUCUAGUUGAACUGCCACACCUAUUAUCUCUGACUAUUGGGCAUCCCAGCUGUCGCUGAUGGGAACUGGAGUCCAACAAUAUCUGGAGGGCCACAGGUUCCUAAUCACUGCAUUAAGCUCUGGAAGAGAACAUCUGGAGAAAUCAAAGUCUUUUCUGUAGAAAGUAUACUUACUGUCAAACUUUCAAGUUCAGCAAACAGCUUCUUAAACUUUCCAGGGAUUCUCUGAAACACACACAAAAAAUCAAAGGAAAUGAGAUUCGAUGGGGGGGGGGGAAUCCAAGUAUGCUGAAAAGUAUUUAAUAUUUCUUUCAGUGACUAGCCAUCAUAAAAAACUCAUAAAAAAUCAAGUUGCUCAUCAUGAAUAAUGUUUAAGAGUGAUGCAAAUCCUUUUGCAUUUUGAGACUGCCCCUCUCAUAAUUCUUUUAUAAUUGCUUCCUAAAAUCUGUCUUCAUUUUAUUCACUAACAUCUUUGUCUGCCUCAUUUGUCUUAAGGCCUUUCUGAUUAUUUCAUUUAAAAAAGUAAAACGUAUCAACAGUAUAUUAGUGCUAGCUUGAACUGAUACUAAAAUAUCCUUGUAGUGAGCUACAUUUCAGGGGGAAGGCUAGUUUUUCUGAUUUUAUUAUUUUAAACAGGGAAGAAUUGUGUCCUCUGCAUCUAUCUCCCAGUGUCACCCCAAGAUUUAAAGGAACCACUUGGAACUGGGCCCUCAGUACCUGAUUGUGCACCAUGCUGACCUGAUGGUUCUUCCAUCACCCUCAAACUCAGGGAAUGACUCCGUUGCAGCUUCUCCUACUUCACAACAACGCAGGCGCAUGUGACAGAAGAAUCUGUUACAAUCCCUUUGAGGAUUAGAGACAGCUCUCCAAGGGAGGGCAAAGCCACUUCGAAGGGUUCUGCCAUUCCCCUCUUAAGCCUUCAAACAACUCUGGUCUUUGUGGGAAAUUGCCAUCAAACAUAACUAGCAAACUUAGGCCUAGUUAAUGCACGAAGGGGUUAAGACCACAGAAAUGUAUUCCUAGACUCAGCUAGGUCACAGCCUUCACCUGAAAGGAAGUUAAGUUUCCUACUUUGUUCAUUCUCUUUCAUCAUGUGAACUCGCUGAGA